AAGGUCCCCGGUAGACGACCGGGUUGAUAGGCCAGAGGUGUAAGUGCAGAAAUGCAUUCAGCUGACUGGUACUAAUAGACCGAGGACUUGACCAA
Alkalibacter saccharofermentans DSM 14828 is the source of this 95-nucleotide non-coding RNA. Lineage: Bacteria; Bacillati; Bacillota; Clostridia; Eubacteriales; Eubacteriaceae. The record is from Rfam.